Nicotiana tabacum (common tobacco) is the source of this 3778-nucleotide non-coding RNA. The record is from RefSeq and is a predicted model, not a curated record. Lineage: Eukaryota; Viridiplantae; Streptophyta; Magnoliopsida; Solanales; Solanaceae.
AGUAACAAAUAAUUCAAGGAUUCGGGAGGAAUUCCAAGCUGCAUGCACUUGAUCCUCCUAAGAUGUGUCACGAAUCUAUUAUUACGUCUAGCAAACAAAAUCUGAAGGAAAUUCAAGCCGCGCGCAUCAUCGUUUAAUCCCUUCUUCGACUUUUUCAUAAUCUACUAGGAGAAUUGAUGCAAACAAGAAUGGCUUCAGCUAGCGCGACAUGUACGGACAGCUCAAAUAGGUGUACCUAGCCAUUAGGAGUUAGUUAUUAGCGGAAGCGAAUAGGAUGAAAGUUAUUAAGUAAGCAGUUAAGUCCCUAUAGGUUUCUUAAAGCAAGUUUGAUAAAUUGUAAUUAUGUCCAUAGUUUUAUCCUAAUUUGACACUUAUAGUCCCUUUUUGCUUUACCCUAAUUUUUCUUCUUAGCUUCUUUUUUCUUUUCUUACUGUUACAUUGCCAUCGCCGACAUCAAGAAUACAGUAGGGACACAACAAACUACAACAAUCAACAUGCCUGCUUGGCUACGACAAGUUGAAACAAACGUUUGGAUGCAGUGAACUGAAGCGACACUCUUCUUAGGCGGCAAACUUGGUUCUCUUUCGCUUCUGCUAGAAUUGAUUGCCGACGCAAGUGAAGUACCAAGAAGGCUUUCGUCCGCUUUAAACUGUCUUAAACGUCUUCACAUAUGAGGAUAUACAAGAACUGAUGAGCUUGAAUGAGGAAGAGACACACAAAAAAACCUCUCUGUUGCUAGACUUUGAGGAAAAUGCUCGGAAGGAGGAGAUAACAUGGAGAUAAAUGUCCAGGGCCUUAUGGUUGAAAGAAGGUGACAGAAAUACUAAGUUCUUUCACAGAACUGUAAAUGCCCAUAAAAGAUAUAACAAUAUUGACAAGCUACAAGUCAAUGGGGGAAAAUGUGGAGAAUCUUGAAGAUAUCAAGAGGGAGAUAAUUUCUUUUUACCAAAAAUUAUACACAGAAACUGAGGAGUGGAGACCAGAAUGCAGCCUAAGGGACUGUCAAACUAUUAGCUCAGAGGAUAAUCAGAUGUUAUUGAGCCCUUUUGAGCCUCAUGAAAUCUGGGAGAGUGUCAAAACAUGUGCAGGGGACGAAGCUCCUGGUCCAGAUGGGUAUACUAUGGCUUUCUACAUUCAAUGCUGGGAAAUGAUCAGUCAAGAUGUGAUAGCUGCAGUCCAUUUUCAAGUUACUGGGGUCUUUGAAACAAGCUUUAAUGCCACUUUGGUGGCUUUGAUUCCUAAGAAAGUUGGAGCUAAAGAACUGAAAGAUUUCAGACCUAUCAGUCUGAUAGGUUGUGUCUACAAAAUAAUCUUAAAACUCCUAACAGAAAGAAUCAAGAAAGUAAUGGGCAAGCAGGUGGACAAUCAAUAGAUGACCUUCAUCAAAGGUAGGCAAAUAAUGGAUGCUAUUCUCAUUGCAAAUGAGAGUGUAGAUGCUAGAAUAAAGAGCAAAGAACCUGGUAUCUUGUGCAAGCUGGGCAUAGAAAAGGCAUAUGAUCACCUUAACUGGGAGUUUUUGCUGCGAAUACUUUCGAAAAUGGGCUUUGAUGAAAGAUGGAUUAGUUGGAUCAAAUUCAGCAUUAGUACUGUCAAAUUCUCUAUUUUAGUCAAUGGUUCACCUGUUGGUUUCUUCUCCUCUCCGAGAGGUUUGAGGCAGGGAGAUCCAAUCUCCCCUUUUCUAUUUAUUCUGGCUAUGGAAGGUUUAAACAAUAUGUUUAAAACUGCCAUAGCAAAUAAUAGGAUCAGGGGUUCAGGGUAAACUCUAGGGAGUCAACCAACCUGGAAAUCACCCAUCUACAAUAUGCAGAUGAUACUUUGGUGUUUUGUGAUGCUAGCAUAGAACAAUUGCUCUUUCUGAGAUUGGUUUUCAUUCUUUUUGAAGCAAUAUCUCGACUACACAUUAACUGGAACAAGAGUUUCAUCUAUCCAGUUAAUGAAAUGAUGGAGAUGCAUAGUUUGGCUAGAAUACUGGGGGGAACAUAUGAGCUCUACCAACAGUGUAUCUGGGAAAGCCACUUGGAGCAAAAAGCAAGUCAAAAGGAAUAUGGAAUGGGGUAAUUGAGAAAUGUGAAAAGAAACUUGUUAGUUGGAAGAGCCAUUACCUAUCUUUGGGAGGGAGACUAAUCCUUAUCAAUAGUGUUUUGGAUGCCAUGCCUACUUACAUGAUGUUUUAAUUUCUAGUUUCGUCCAGUGUAGUUAAAAGAAUAGAUGCACUGAGAGGAAACUUUCUAUGGCAAGACACCAGUGAUAAGAGUAAGUUUCAUCUGGUCAGGUAGGAAGUACUUAUUACCAGCAAGAAAUAAGGGGGAACGGGGAUCAGAAAUUUGAAAAUUCAGAAUCAAGCAUUGAUGAUGAAGUGGUUAUGGAGGUUUGCCACAACAGAGCAAUCUUUGUGGAAGAAGGUAAUUCAGGAAAGGUAUGGGAUUGAAGGUAGUUGGACAAGAAAAACAGUUUGUACUCCUUAUGGGGUGAGUCUGUGGAGGUCUAUCAGAAGCACAUGGCCAAGGUUCAGAAACAAUCUCAGUCUCAGAGUUGGAAAUGGAAGGAAAAAAUCCUUCUGGGAAGAUAAAUGGCUUGGACAGAGAACUUUAAAGCAACUAUUUCCGGACAUUUACAAUCUGAAUCAACAACAAAGAGCCUCUGUUGGAGAACUUUGGACAGGCUGACGGAUUUCUAUGAUACUGUACAACAGUUUAGAGGGACCACCAACAAUGAAGAUAUGUUGUUCUGGCAAGGGGGGAAAGGAGGAAUUUUCUCUAUUAGAUCAGCUUACAAGGAAUACAACCAUUCUAAUAAUCAGAUUGAUUGUUGACCUUGGAAAUGAUCUAGAAAGUUAAAAUACCUAAUAAAGUGACAUGUUUUGUCUGGCUUCUAGCAAGAGAAGCUGUCCUAACCCAAGAUAAUCUCACGAAGAGAGGAUAUCAGUUGGGGUCCAGAUGUUACUUAUGUAAAGCUCAGGAGGAGACAAUCAACCAUCUUUUUUGCACUACAGUGUCACAGAUCAAAUUUGGAAGAUAUUCAUCAACCUGAGGGGAAUUAAAUGGGUUAUGCCAGGGAGAAUCAGGGAAGUCCUAACAAGUUGGAAGGAGAGAUAGAAUGCAGUCUAGCCAGAAGGAGAGAUGGAAUAUUGUCCCUACAAGGGUGAAUAGGAAGAAGCAACAAAGCUAAUAAAUACACUCUUCCUUCUCUCUAGGAAGAAGGGUGAAUAGUAAAUCCGUUACUAUUCAUCGGCCAUAACUUCGGAAUCUAGCAGUGGAUUUUCGCAAACUUGAUAUCAAAAGAUUCAUUUUCUCUUUGCGCACAAUCCCCAAUUGGUUUCACCCUCAAAUCCAUAGUCAAUUGUUACAGAUCUACAAAUUGGUUCGUCCAUUACUGUAGCAAAACAGUGUAUCUGGGCAGCUUCUUCUUUUCUGUGCGAUGUAGUGUUGAAACUUGUGCGUAAUAGAGCCUUUCCAUGGCAGCCAACAUCUCUCCCCAACCUUUGGCUGUGGGAGAGCAGAAUCCAAACUCAAAUGAAGUUACUCCAAACAUCAACAACUUUGUUACAUAUGCAGCAAGUUUGAAUCAAAAGCAAUCUGCCACAUCUCUCACAAAAACGAGUUUGAAACCUUUUGAAAUUGUUCAUGGAGUUCCUACCAUUCAAUUUUCCAUGGAUGAACGUGAAGAAUUUGCAAAGGAGGAAGGAUUACAUCAAGCAGUGAUGAUAAAAUUGUCCAGCGACGUACCAAAUUUACAGAUUUUAAGGAGUAUUCUGCCGAAAAUCUUUGGUAUCAAAGGU